Molecule: small nuclear RNA, 20 nt
Filed under: Arabidopsis thaliana (thale cress)
Lineage: Eukaryota; Viridiplantae; Streptophyta; Magnoliopsida; Brassicales; Brassicaceae
Description: snRNA_05271
Source: RNAcentral
ACGAUUCUACUACACACAAU